UUGAGCCGCGCCUAUGACAGGUCAAACACUCGAAGCGCGAACACUUGAAUACCGCACCGUUUCGUCCCACAUUUGGGUUGUUUCGCUUCCCAUACCCGGGGAUGAACCCGCGAGACUGGAAGAGUUCCGGAGAACAUCUGUGCUGUGUUGAUGCACCUUACGAGAGAAUAAGACCAGUAAGCAAGGCAACUACAAUGAAGCAUAAAGAAAGACAUGAGCAGGCCAGCCACCCUGAGACUUAUAAUUCAUGAGAAGACAUUUCUGUCACUAACAAUGUGGAUGGUGAGCAAAGUUGGUGGCCAUGUUUUGGAGCAGCACCUGGGUUUUGCAGAUGGCUAUGUAUUCUUUGGCUGCUUAUCUUUUUUCCCCAUUAUUUUUCUGUUGCCUAAAGAUUCUUUGUUAGGAUAAAUCCUGAUGAUACAACAUAAUGCACUGCA
Long non-coding RNA from Sinocyclocheilus grahami, 437 nucleotides. RefSeq lists it as uncharacterized. The transcript is spliced from 3 exons. The record is from RefSeq and is a predicted model, not a curated record. NCBI's taxonomy places the organism in Eukaryota, Metazoa, Chordata, Actinopteri, Cypriniformes, Cyprinidae.